RNAcentral lists this ribosomal RNA (618 nucleotides) under uncultured bacterium. RNAcentral describes it as "bacterial SSU rRNA". The stretch from base 1 to 537 matches the Rfam family "Bacterial small subunit ribosomal RNA", at positions 338 to 873 of the family's 1533-position model. The record is from RNAcentral.
CCUACGGGAGGCAGCAGUAAGGAAUAUUGGUCAAUGGACGAGAGUCUGAACCAGCCAUGCCGCGUGAAGGAUGAAGGCCCUCUGGGUUGUAAACUUCUUUUAUAGGGGACGAAAAAAGGGAAUUCUUUCCCACUUGACGGUACCCUAGGAAUAAGCACCGGCUAACUCCGUGCCAGCAGCCGCGGUAAUACGGAGGGUGCAAGCGUUAUCCGGAUUUACUGGGUUUAAAGGGUGCGUAGGUGGGCAGUUAAGUCAGUGGUGAAAUCUCCGAGCUUAACUCGGAAACUGCCAUUGAUACUAUCUGUCUUGAAUAUCCUGGAGGUGAGCGGAAUAUGUCAUGUAGCGGUGAAAUGCUUAGAUAUGACAUAGAACACCAAUUGCGAAGGCAGCUCACUACGGGAUUAUUGACACUGAGGCACGAAAGCGUAGGGGAUACAAACAGGAUUAGAUACCCGUGGUAGUCCACGCCCUAAACUAUGGAUACUCGACAUCAGCGAUACACUGUUGGUGUCUGAGCGAAGCAUUAAGUAUCCCGACGUGGAAGUACGAAGUCGNGAGAGUAGUUAAUUAAGUAGAGUUGNGNGNGAGAGNGACGACGACGACGACGGAGGGAGGAGG